AGUGGAUGGGGAGCAACCUAUGUUGUGCGUGUGUAAAGGUAGUGCCAAGAAAAGCGAUGAUCAUGUUGAAAAUCAAUUCCCGGUACCCGAGACCGACACAGGUGGGCAAGUAGAGAAUACUAAGGGGCGCGAGGUAACUCUCUCCAAGGAACUCGGCAAAAUGACCCCGUAACUUAGGGAGAAGGGGUGCCACCGAGAGGUGGUCGCAGUGAAGAGGCCCAGGCGACUGUUUAGCAAAAACAUAGGUCUCUGCAAACUCGAAAGAGGAGGUAUAGGGGCUGACGCCUGCCCAGUGCCGGAAGGUUAAAGAAGUUGGUCAGUUUUAGGAUGAAGCUAGCGACUGAAGCCCCGGUGAACGGCGGCCGUAACUAUAACGGUCCUAAGGUAGCGAAAUUCCUUGUCGGGUAAGUUCCGACCCGCACGAAAGGCGUAACGAUCUGGGCGCUGUCUCGGAGAGAGGCUCGGCGAAAUAGGAUUGUCUGUGAAGAUACGGACUACCUGCAUUUGGACAGAAAGACCCUAUGAAGCUUUACUAUAGCUUGGAAUUGUGUUCGGGCUUCCUGUGCGCAGGAUAGGUGGAGGCGUAGAAGGUAUUCUUGUGGGGAUACUGGAGCCAACGGUGAGAUACCACUCUCAGGAGGCUAGAAUUCUAACUUAAUUAAGGACAGUUUCAGGUGGGUAGUUUGACUGGGGCGGUCGCCUCCAAAAAGGUAACGGAGGCGUACAAAGGUUCCCUCAGACUGGUUGGAAAUCAGUCGAAGAGUGCAAAGGCAGAAGGGAGCUUGACAGCGAGAAGUACAGUUCGAGCAGGGUGGAAACACGGUCUUAGUGAUCCGACGGUGCUGUGUGGAAGGGCCGUCGCUCAACGGAUAAAGUUACUCUAAGGAUAACAGGCUGAUCUCCCCCAAGAGUUCACAUCGACGGGGAGGUUUGGCACCUCGAUGUCGGCUCAUCGCAACCUGGGGCGGAAGUACGUCCCAAGGGUUGGGCUGUUCGCCCAUUAAAGCGGUACGUGAGCUGGGUUCAGAACGUCGUGAGACAGUUCGGUCCAUAUCCGAUGUAGGCGUGAGAAUAUUGAGAGGAGCCUUCCUUAGUACGAGAGGACCGGGAAGGACGCACCGCUGGUGUACCUGUUAUGAUGCCAAUUGUAAACGCAGGGUAGCCAAGUGCGGAGAGGAUAACCGCUGAAAGCAUCUAAGUGGGAAGCCCACCUCAAGAUGAGUAUUCUGGUGUAAGGUCACGGGAAGACGACCCGUAAAUAGGCACGAGGUGGAAGUGCAGAGAUGUAUGAAGCCGAAGUGUACUAAUAGACCGUCGGCUUGACC
RNAcentral lists this ribosomal RNA (1325 nucleotides) under metagenome. RNAcentral's name for it is "bacterial LSU rRNA". It matches the Rfam family "Bacterial large subunit ribosomal RNA", at positions 1561 to 2925 of the family's 2925-position model. The record is from RNAcentral.